GCCAGCAGCCGCGGUAAUACGAAGGGGGCGAGCGUUGUUCGGAAUUACUGGGCGUAAAGGGAGCGCAGGCGGUUCAUUUAGUCAGACGUGAAAGCCCCGGGCUCAACCCGGGAGGUGCGUUUGAUACUGGUGAGCUAGAAAUCAUAAGAGGAUGGUGGAAUUCCCAGUGUAGAGGUGAAAUUCGUAGAUAUUGGGAAGAACACCAGUGGCGAAAGCGGCUAUCUGGUCUGUAUUUGACGCUGAGGCUCGAAAGCGUGGGGAGCAAACAGGAUUAGAUACCCUGGUAGUCCACGCCGUAAACGAUGACAGCUAGAUGUCCGGGGUUACCUCUCCGGUGUCCGGACGCUAACGCAUUAAGCUGUCCGCCUGGGAAGUACGGUCGCAAGAUUAAAACUCAAAGGAAUUG
RNAcentral lists this ribosomal RNA (406 nucleotides) under uncultured Skermanella sp. RNAcentral describes it as "bacterial SSU rRNA". It matches the Rfam family "Bacterial small subunit ribosomal RNA", at positions 507 to 912 of the family's 1533-position model. Lineage: Bacteria; Pseudomonadati; Pseudomonadota; Alphaproteobacteria; Rhodospirillales; Azospirillaceae. The record is from RNAcentral.